This 1211-nucleotide long non-coding RNA is filed under the name Heterocephalus glaber (naked mole-rat). RNAcentral describes it as "lncRNA (ENSHGLG00000049350.1)". Lineage: Eukaryota; Metazoa; Chordata; Mammalia; Rodentia; Bathyergidae. The record is from RNAcentral.
GCUCUCUAAAAACUGGCCCACCUUCCUUUUUUUUCUCCUGAGUGACAUAAGUAAUGUCUCCCCUGAGAUGUUUGAGAUGUUUAGUAAGUAACUUUUUUUCUCAAGGGAGCUUGAAUAUUGAAGAGAGGAAUUGACCUAAGAUCAGCAAGGACUCACAAAUCCAAGAGCUUUUGGUGGUUCCUUCUGUUAGCAUGCAUGAGCUAGCCUUGUACAACUGAUCUCGGACAGAGACUCCUAACAGGACCGAUAGUUAUUGGCAGUGGUUGCUUUUCAACAGCACUUUACAGCCAUGGAGAUUCCAGGAUCUCUUAUAGUUGAGUCCCAAGGUUUGCUUCCUCAAAUAACUACAGUGGACCCUCAAAGUUACGAUCAACCUGACAUGUGAACAACUUCGGUUAAUUAGGUUAAUGCAAGGUUCAUUUGCCUUUUGUUAUCUAUAGCAUGUACUCAGAUAAACAUCCAGAUCUCAGCUGUAUGAUUUACAAGCAACUUGAGUUACAUCCCACCCUUGGGAACCAAUUGAAUUUGUAAGCCAAGGGUCCCCUGUACAGUGGUUGGUUGAGUCUCUCAGUUGGUAGGCAACUCAGUCUCUCAAAGCUUCUAUCUAAAGUACAGCUCACAGAAAUUUCCCAUUCUCUGAAGUUGUAUAAAAAGACCAAGCUUGUAAUAUUCCAGGAGCAGUGCCUGGAAUAUUCACAUUCAGCAAAUACUGAUGUUUCAUGAGUGGAGACAGAGCAUUCAUUUGACAAAUUGAUCUAAAAGGUGGUAUCCAAGGUAAAAAUGUUACUGGAAAGAGCAGAUUUUAGUCUAGGGAGGAAAGGGGAGGGGGUCCAUUUGUAGAAAAGCUAUAGUGAAGGAAGUGUUGUGGAACUAGAAUUAUGUAAAGUGUGUCCCUAUGUUCUCGAGGCUGCCAAUGGUAAAAAUCAGACUUACGUAGUUUCCACCAGUUUCCCCUCUAUCACUUUAUUUUUUUCUCACUUCGGGCAUGCCUUAUCUUUUAAAAAGUUACUGAAACCAAAAUUUCAAAACAUGAAUCAAAAUACUAUUCAUAUUAGUAAACAACUUUUUAUCUAAAAGAACUCAAAGACUCUUUAAAAUAAAAUGUUCCUCUAAUGUGUAGUGUAGGUAAUUGACUGCAUGGUAGCAGACUAGAGAAGUAGGACUGGGAAAGAAAACUGUAAUACAAAUGGUACUGUCAGUUGAAACUGGAG